GUGCACCCUUUGGCAGCACAUAUACUAAGAUUGGAAUGAUACAGAGAAGAUUAGCAUGGCCUCUGCACAAGGAUGACAUGCAAAUUCAUCUCUACCUCACACCAUAC
This is a small nuclear RNA of Vulpes vulpes (red fox), 107 nucleotides long. NCBI's taxonomy places the organism in Eukaryota, Metazoa, Chordata, Mammalia, Carnivora, Canidae. The record is from Ensembl.